CUUUACCCUCAUCUGUAACCUAACUCUGGAGAUCAGCUGGAACAUAAAGGGGCACCACCUAGGGUCAUCAUUCUGCAUAAGGAAUCGGGCAGAUCUGUGCUAGUCUCCAUCCAGGAUAACCAAGAUGGCACAUACCACAUAUCCUACACCCCAACUGAGGCGGGUCAGGUUUCCAUAAGUGUGUGUAUGAAAGGACGCCACAUCAGGGGCUCCCCUUUUACCGUGAACGUGAGGGGGACAUCGCACCAGCAUAGUGGGAUCUAUCACUGCUGCACAUUCUGCUCUAGUGGUGGCCAGAAGGAUGCCCGAUGUGGAUGUGGUGGUUCAAUGCCAGGUGGUUUUCAGGGUUGUGGUCAUGGGCACAAAGGUCAUCCCGGCCAGUCCCACUGGUCAUGUUGUGGAUCCACCUCUGAGACAUCCGAGUGCACCGGUGUGAAGGACUCGGCCCCCCGCAAUCUGCUGCGCACUGUAGCUUUAUGAUGAUUGGAGAUGUUGAAGGACUCGGCACCUGCAAUCUGCUCCGGACCGUCAUUUCAUGAUGGUAGGAGACAUUUCUGGGGUACUAGUCAGAUUCGGUUGCACCCUGGACUACGCUUUAUGGUCAAAGUGGUGGCAAUAAGACCACAAUUCACAUCAAAAUGAAAAGUGCCCUAUAGUUUGUGCAAUAUUAAUUGGGUCUUGAGCCCUUACACAAUGUCAGCCUGAGAAGACUGUUGCUGAUCCAGGCUGGAAAUAGUAUUUAUGUCCCACGGUGCGUCGUGUCCUACAGAUGUGUUUUAUACCUUAGUUGUCACAUUGUCCAUGUGAAAACUGCAGCUUUCAUAGAUAACGGGAGAUAAGGGGCUGCUACAGUGUAGACACCUCCAUAUUGUAACUCUUCAGAUGUCAUCUCCCCGCCAACUGCUCCGAGCGAGACCACACAAAGGCUCCAGGAUCAGAAUCACCGUCAUUCAGUAGCUGUCUCUGUGCCACAACGUGGCGAGGAGCCACCUGAGAACAGUCACCUGUAUUCAAGGAGAACUUUCUGGCUGCUUUUCUGUGGGGUUUAGGUUUGGCAUCAGAUUCCGCCUCUGUUACUCUCCAUCAAUUUUGAGUUAUUGUCCUCUUGUAAAACGGACUGACCGAGCUGAAAACACGUGGGAUGGUUGGCGAAGUGUUUGGCAGUCCUGCAGGUUAUAAUAAAUCACCUACAGUGUCACCAACUAUCACCCCCACCGUCACGCACGAUUCUUCAGAGAGAACACCACAUCCUGGGCAUCAUCUCCUCAUCCCGCAAAGAUACAGAAGAUAGAACCAAAGAUCUUGCAUUUGGAUUUGUCAGAACAAAUUUCUGCUGUUGUCUGAGCUCCUUGGGGUCGACGUGAACUCAGUGGUUCAUCUCCAUGGCCUAUGAGGAGAAUACUGCUUGGCCUUUCAUCUGCUGAUCCUCAUGUACGAAGGUUAGGGGCAGACUGGGAACGUAAAGUGGCCCCGUUCUGUAGUCGGUCCAAAUUGAUGGAAGCCAGCAAUACCAUUUUGUGGCCCAAUAGAGACAAAUACCACAGUCCAUCACAAAAUACUGCCCCAAAAACUUCGACUGGCCGGCCGUGAGGAGGGACCAGGCGACCCCCCGGGAAAUUUCCCUGUAAGGUCCAUGGCCAAUCCGCCCCGACGGAGGUUCUGCUGCACAUGAAGGAACUUUCUAAGUUGCUGGAUUUUUCAGGAUUCAUUCCUUGUGCAGUCCAGACAUUGAUUAUCAUCGUCUUCCAACGUUCUCCGCGUCAAACCUCCAGAAAUGUUCUAGAUAAAAAUGUUUUCACAGAAUUUUUCUUUCAUAGAGACAAUAACACCCAGGCAUCAACUGCACGGUUUAAAAUAAAGACGA
Molecule: long non-coding RNA, 1864 nt
Organism: Bufo gargarizans (Asiatic toad)
Lineage: Eukaryota; Metazoa; Chordata; Amphibia; Anura; Bufonidae
Exons: 4
Source: RefSeq, a predicted model, not a curated record